Molecule: long non-coding RNA, 12794 nt
Filed under: Marmota monax (woodchuck)
Lineage: Eukaryota; Metazoa; Chordata; Mammalia; Rodentia; Sciuridae
Source: RNAcentral
CAGAAAUGGUGAGAGUGGACAUCUUUGUCAUGUUCCUAAUUUUGGAGAACUGCUUAGCUUGGUGGCUGUGGCUGAGUCUCUUGUUUAGUCUCAGUGAGAUGUCAACUGGGGCCCUAGUCACUCAAAGUAUGGCCUGAGUUUGGAGGAUUUCAUUCUAAGAGGACUUCCUCCUAGGAAGGUAUUGGCAGAUUGUAGGAGGACUCCGUUCCUUACACAGAGGCCUCUCCAUAGGACUGCCGGAGUGGCCUCAGGAUAUGGAAGCUGGCUCCUGAGAGGUUUAAGUAAGUACUUGCAAAUGGGCUUACAUGUCCAUCUGUAUUUUCAUUUCUAUUUCUAGUCUGUAUUUCAAUCCUGGGGUACUUCAAGGUAACUUUAAAAGGCAGAGUUCUAACCAUAGCAGCAGAGAGCAGUGAGUUGUCAGGACUUCCCACCAUUUUUAAAAAUGAACACAUUAUAUUUGGAUAGCAGAGAGGUGGCAACAGCAGGUGCAAUGGCAUGGAGGAAGGAGAGACACAUGUUUGAAAUACAGAUAGGAGGACUGUUGGAUGAGAGCACUUGGGUUGGAAAGAACACGGGGAGAGGUGGAAAACAGAUGGCAAUAGAGAAGGAAGCAAUGAGGUCAAUGACAGAUUAUUGGAAGCAUUUGAACAGGGGACUAACCUGAUCAAAGAGGUGAUGACUAUGAUUGGUCUGGACACAGCACAGAGAGCAGCAGCUUGACAAAUCCUACAGGCAGGAGACAGCUCCAUAUUUUUAUAUUCAUUUAUUAUAAGCAAAAUGCAUGUCAUUGCAGGGUAAUGGGUACUAACUCACUCAAAAAACCCUUGAGAGAAUUCAUUGUGCCCUGCCUUCAAACAAGUAGAAAUUCAGAUAUGACAGUGCUCGUGGAAGACAGUUCUGUGAGCCCACAGCCCAGGCAGUCUUCCUGGGUUCUGGCAGUGGUAGCCAAGGCUGGCCACAGCUUGAGGGAAGAUUUAUGGAGGCAGACACUUUUCCAGUUUUUCUUGAACCAUGUUGUCAGUAUCAUUCAAGGAACUUGUAUUGGCACCACUAUUCAGCCCGCCCUGUGGCAAAUGAAUAUCACUACCUGGUGAUCUGUCCCACUUCAUAGUUCCCAGAGUAGGAUGCAGAUGGUGAAGGGAGCAGAGCUUGUACUAUUGAAAGGUGACUUGGGCUCAAAGCCCAGUCACUUACCUAUGGCUCUCAUGAACCUCCAUUUAUUUAUUAGGUUAAAAAACUAAAAGAUAAAAGAAUAACUGCUGGGUGCUUUCUGUGAGGAUUAGAAGAGAUUCCACUUGGAAAUGACGCACCCCUUAGCUGGUCUUCAUAAAUCACGUAACGAAGAAUGAUGUACAUAUUGACAGGAGUCAGACACCCAUCUGUCUUUGAGGAGGGUGAUCCUGGAGCACGAGAGGCAUCUGCUGGGCAGGUCUCGACUCAGAAGAAAACACUGUGAGACAAGUGGAGCUUCCAAAACCCAUCCUGGGCCAGGUCCUCCAGCUCUCCCACAUUGGUCCUUAAGAACAUGCUCACUGGGGACCUUGGAAUUUGUCCCAUAGACUCUGGUUAUAACAACCUCAGCAUGUUGACUGUGUCCAACUUGCCUUUCAGAGGGCAUGUUUGUAUCUAUACCUGGUGCUUACCUGGGCCUUACCCCGUGUCGGCUGGGCUUCUUGUUCCAGAUUGACCACUCAAAUCUGUCCUCCAGUAAAAGUCAAAGAAACCACAUUGUCAAGACAGCCUGUACUACCUGGGAGAGAACCUGCACGCCUCUGGGGAGCUCAGUGGGGAAAGAGAAGUUUAGCUUUUGUUAUUGAAGCCCCCCACCACCCCCUGCCCGCCAAGGAACUUGGGCAGUUUUAUUACAGUAAAAUUUUGUCUGUCCUGACUAAUGAAAUCAGAAGGUGUGGGAUUUCAUAGUCAUGUUGAAAUGAGCAAAUAAUCAAUUCCAGAUUCCAGGGCCAGAGAAAGCCACGGAGAUCCCCAACUACACAGGAGGGUGCAGGAAAUAGAAACAGUUUCAAAUGUAGCUGUGUGGCCUGAGGCAGGGAGGGCCUGAUUGCAGAUAAACGAGAGUCAGUCUGAAUCAAAGGAAAUGGUCUUCAGUGCUUCGUGUAAAGAACAAAGUACAACUGAAACACAGAAGUAGCUGGAGAGUGAAUAUUUCAAAAGGCCAUAGGUGGGAAGGGAAGAUCAGCUUAUUUAGGGCUGGGCCACAGGCAGGUUGGAGCUCAGCUUCGUGUCAGGGGCUGUGCCACCUCUUCAGGGUGGUGCACCAGAUUUAUGGGCCUGUCUGCAUGUGGCUUCUUGGAGGCAGUCACAUGCACCUCUAAUGAACAGGUAUGCUGAGAUGCAAAAUGCACCAGAGUACAUCUGCAAGAAUCACUCACAGGACAAAUUCCAUUUGAAGGCUAUCUCCAACCUUCAACAGAUGGUGCGCUUUCCCAGACUGGUGCAAACAAUUUCCCUGUCAUGUGAGCACUUAAAAACCAGUCCAGCUGUUGCAAAAUCCACACCCAGGCUUGCGGGCAGGCAGAGAUGACUCUACCAUGUCUCUAGUGGGACCUUCCACCUCCUGCAGGGGUUUUCCACUGUAAGGGCUCAUUUGAAGGCCAAGGAAAAACUAAUUUGUAAUGAGGUAUAGGACAAUCAGGAGGCUAUUGUUCUGUUUUAUUUUGUUUUGUUUUUCCAGCUUUGCUGAGGUCUAAUUGGCAUACUGACGCUGCAAAUGAUUAAUGUAUAUAAUUUGGUGAAUUUGGACAUAUGUAGAGAUCUAUGUGAUCACCGCUAAAAUCUAGGUAACAAACAUACCCAUCAUCUCCCAAAGUUCCACUGUGUCCCUUUGAGGGUGUGUGUGAUAAUAACACUUAACAUGAAACCUAUUCUUUCAUUUUUAAAUGCUGUAUAUAAAGCAGAAGUAGUUCCUUGUUGACCAGGUGAUAGCUGAAAGGUAACUGGCUGCAAAGCACAGGUCGGGACACCUGUCUCCAUCUGUGUCUUUCACCCUAUAAUCUCCUAGAGAGAUGGCCCUUUUCUUACCCUUGUCCACUAUAAUGUGACAGUGAAUUCAUAUUUAUCAGGGACUAACAAUUGUCCAAAUAUUGUUCAUAGUAUUUCAACAUUCAGUUGCCUCAACAGCCUCUGUGGAUGAGGCAAUGGCCAACUUCUCCAAUUUAGAGAUGAAGAUAUUGAAGUGCCAGAAUGUACCCUGGGUCUCACAGCUGGUUUAGAGGUUGAACCCAGGCAGUUCACCCCAGGCCAGCACCUGUGCCCUGGGAGCCAUCCCCUUCCCCCAUGAGAACUACAUGCUUCUCAAAAUUUGGAGAACAACAAACUUACCAGGAACCAUAAAAUGCCAAUGUCUAGGCCUCAUUCUAUGUAUAGAGAUCUCACCUCUGAAAUCUAAGCCUUCCCCUGCCUCCUUGAAGGUAAUGUUGACACUGUCUGUCACCUUCCCUGUCCCAGGCCUCGUGCCUUCAUAUCACUCGUUGGAACCUGUUACCUGCUCCCUCUGGGUUUUUUAUUUGUGCAUAAAUGAACAGUUUUAUAAUUUAAUGCAUGAAUAUAUGAAUUGCUGCAAUUUUAUAGGCUUCAACUACUUAAUUUUACUUUAAAUUCUAAUCACACUUUUAAAUAUGCUUUGGUUAAAGGGGAUUGUCAAAAUUGUAAGAAGCCAGGGCAUCCAGAUUUCAACCUCUGGCAUCCCUGCUCCAUCUCACCGUCCCUCAUUGAUUUAUUUAGAAAGCUGUUCUACUCAACUUUCAAACUGCAUUUUAUAAAGUGAGCUGGCAUGCAACAUCUUAGGCCCAUGUUGCCUCUAAUCAUUUCCACCUUCUCAUAUCUAUCAGGUUUAAGUUACGUCGCCUGCAAGAUCUAGAAUGCAGAGCACAGCUCCAAAAGACAUGUGUGAAUAAAAUGCCAAUUUCACAUGGGCAAUGGCCUGUGACCAUGAGUGCACCCCUCUAUCCCUUAGCCUGCUGUCCUCGGUUUUGUUACAUGAACUUUAUCUGAGACUCUGUAAUUCAAAUUCCCUAGUAGGAAAAAUAGAUCCGAAUGAUCUUCGUUAAAAGUCCAGUACAGUAUGGGAGUCUAAGUGAAGUCUUUAAGCGUGUUUGCUACACGUUCUUCUCCAGACAGAAAAGUGAAAUCAGAGAAUUUUGUGCUAAUCUUCAGGUAAAAAUAUUUUUCCAUGAGAUUCAAAUGUACUUAGUUUCAUUCUCUUUCUUUGGGAAAAUGCCCACAUCUCACUUAAGUGCCACUUAUCAAGCUGUGAAUUUUAGGCCAGUAUAUCUUUUGCUUUUCCCUGGAUUUCUAGCCCCGAACCAUUAUGAUUCUAAUAUCUUGCUUAGAGCCUACUAAAUAGCCAGAAGCUCAUAAAUACCACUUAUCCUUAUGAACCCCCUCUCAUAAAGGGGUUAUGAGAAAACUGAGAGGUUAAUAAUCUUUUCUGUAUCUAUGAGAUUACUGUAUCAUAGAGGGAAACAAUAGGAGCAACCACAGCCAGAAAACCCUUUGGGCACAAACUGCUUAGGGAAUGUGAGUCAGGCUCAUCUGAUAAAGUCAGGCCCACCCAUGGUAAUCUCCCUUUUGAUCCACUUAAAACCAACCAGUGAGAUGAGCCCAUCAGAAAAAUAACUCUACAUGGGCUCCUAGAUUCCUGCAUGUUUGAAUAGUUGUGUUAACACCUUAGAAAGUCAUCAGAGUAAUGGAUUGGCCCACAGAGUACCAACACAGGUAUACAUCUGAUCACACCAUACCUCCUCUUACAGAGUGGUCCCAGCCUUUGAUUCCUGAGUGGGGGAAAAAAAAAUCUAAGGACAAAAUACUGUCUUUGCUAACAAUGAUUACCAUGGAGAUGAUUUUUCAAGGUCGGGGGAUGGGCACCAGCUGAAUCCAAAAAAUUUGCACAAUGUUUUUGAAUAAAUUGAGAAAACCCAUCUCGGCUGAACACAACAUCUUCCUCCACAGAACCUCCAGAGUUAGUGUGAUGAGGUGUCUCAGAGGAAGGUCUGCCUUGUCACCAGUAGUGAGAGAACUGGAGAAGGAACAACUGGAAUGGAGGUGUUGGCUCCUACAGUGUAUAAUACCUAUUUCUAUAAAGACAAAUAAUCAUUCCUAGUCUCAUAUUUAGUGUGAGAUAAGCUUUUUUUGGGGGGUAUGGUCAACCAGUAUUCCUCAUACAUAUAAAAUUGUUCUGAAUUCAAACAAGGCGAGGUGUCUAUUUUCCUAGAGCAGACCCAAAACAAUGUAUAAAAAUGUCCAGGGUCUAAGUAAAGGACUUGAGCUAAAUCAGAAGUGAGGAUGAAGGCAAUAAAAUAAAAUAAAAAUAAGACAUAAGAACUUCCAGUAACAAUAAUGAUGUUAAAAUGCUAAGAAACUGGUGCCAGGUUGAAGUGAAAACUGCGUAAAUUGUUCCAGUAGUGAAAUCUCUUUGUUUUAAAGAAAGUCACUUCAUUUCUAUGGCAAGACCGGUUACCAGCUCAAUAGCACUGCCCAUAUUCUUGUGAUCCUUCUGAUACCAGCCUUUGGGACUGGAUUAUGUCCAUCAAAACUGCUUGUGAGGGAUGUAUCAGGUGCCACUACAAAUAAAAAAUAACACAAGAUGAUUUAUUCAUGCAGUACACUGCCCAAGGCCAGCGUGGGUCAGACGGUAGGAUGUGGUAGAAUAUGUAGCCAUCUAGGGUUCAGCAUUCGGAGAUGAAAAGCCUGAGUUUGAAUCCUUGUUCUAAUACUAGUUCCAUAGUGACAUGAAAGUCUUAUCAUCUCUGCAUACUUUAGUUUUGUCUGUUAAAAAGUCCUAAUAGCACCAGCCCACAGUCUUUAUAGUAAGUGUCAAUCACUUAAAAUAUAUUGUUACGGUUUGAGUGUUUUGUAUUCUCCAAAUUCAUGUGCUGGAAGCUUGACUCCCAAAGCAGCAGUGUUGGGCCAGGGGGCCUCUCGGGAGAAGCUCAGGGCAUGAGGAUUGGCCCUCGUGAACAGCUGAAUGCCAUGAUUAGAAGAGCUUACACUAAGGCCUCUGCUUUCUUCUGCUCUUCUGCAUGUGAUAACAUGGUGUUACUACCCUGCAGAGGACACAGCAUUUAAGGCGCCACCUUGGAAAGGAAGACCAGAGGCCAGAUCUUCCAGCAACAUGGUCCUGGACUAUCAGCCUCCAGAACCGUGAAAAAGAAAUUUCUAUUUUCCAAAGGUUACUGGGUUUCAGGGAUUCUGCUAUGGAAACACCAGAAGAACUUAGAUAUAAGCACUGAUCCCAGGAGUCAUGGGUUAUGUGAUCGAUGUCUCCAUUAGCUACUAUUAUUUGCCCAAUGGAGAUAGAAAAGGAAAGGAGGAAAUCAGUCCAGACAUCAUUGAGCAGAAGCUGUGGCGUCUCUUGUGCCAGGGCCCUGACUUGGGGAGUGGGCAGGUGUAAAGGGGCACAGACAGAAGCCAUAUCUACUGUAGGACUCAGUUCCCUGGAGCAAAGUGGGGUACCAGCCGGGCAAAGCAGACGCUGCUGUGGUUGGGAAGCUGCCCAUGGGUGUCGCAUUAAUCUAAUCGGGAUGAGAUUGGGAUCUUUACAAAAUGUAUGAGAUCUCUCAUAAAAUCCGCCUUCCUUUAGUGAGAAAGCACCGCACCGUGUCCACCCUGCUCACUGCAAGGAAGGGCCACUGCGCAGCUGUUCCCAGGGAGCGGGGUGGUCAGGGGUUCAUGACAUGCUGCGGUGAAGAGUGCAGCACCUUUCCUGCGCCCAGGGCAGACAUGUGCAAGCAGAGGAAGUGGAUGAAGACGGAAGAUCCCUCUCCAGUGGGUGCUGGCCUCAGCCCUCCCGAGCAGUCCAGGGGUGAGAAGCAGGUUCCUUAAAAUCUGAGAAGUUGCUUGAAGCGCACUGCCUGUGGGGACACCAUGCCUUCUGAGGCAGACGGAAAAGGCAGCAUCAAAACCAGACAUUAAGAGAAAGGCAGCCUCUUCCCAAGCCUCGCGCUUGCAUUUCUGUGGCUCCCAGAGACCCUUGCGUUUGCUUCUCUGAAAAUCACUUUUUGUUUCCGAACUAAAGCCAGCUUGUUUUUCAAAGCAGAAACAACAAAUUCUUCUGUUUAUGUGAAACUCUAGCAGACAGGUCCUGGCCUGAUCAGGACCUCGAUGGGGUAGCAAAGAAAACAGAUCCUAAGUGGAGUUGGUUAUGCUGGUUAGAGAAAAGGCACAGGAAACCUGGGGAAGAGACACACAGAAACUUUAUGAUGUCAAGAAAGACUAAAACUCUAGGAUUAAACAGGGUGCUUCUAAAUGUUAAGCAUUCUGACGCCUAAACUCCUCUGCUGUGUGCCUGUCAUAAUUUUCAAGGCCUGGAUUGCAAAUACUUUCCUGGGCAAAGAGCUUAUGGCUACCCAAGACAGCUCCAACAAUCGGAAGCUGUUGCUGCAUUAGGCAAACAUCAGAAUAUCUGGUGUAGCCAAUCUUCAGUUCGUUUUUUGCAUACAUUUAGUUCCACGUGGAACAAAUCAGGAAUUUGUAAUUUGGCUAAAUGUAAAUGAACAAGUUUAUUCCACCUUCCGGAAUCUCAGCUUUUUCUUCUGUAAGAGGCAGUGACAAUGUAUCUGCUUCAUAGACCUGCUGGGAAAACUGACUACCCAUAUGUAGAAGAAUGAAAGUAGAUCCCUCUCACCCUGCACCAAAGUCCACUCAAGGUGGCUCAAAGACCUAGGAAUCAGACCAGAAACUGCAACUGCUAGAAGAAAACAUAGAAUCCACACUAACCACAUAUCCAUAUGGGCACCGAAUUCCUUAACAAAACUCCUAAAGUGCUAGAAAUAAAACCAUGAAUCAAUAAGUGAAAUGGCAGCAAAUUAAAAAUCUUUUCACAGCGAAGAAAACGAUUAAAAGGAUGAAGAGAGUAUACAGAAUGGGAGGCCAUUUUUGCCAGUUACUCUUUCAACAAAGGACUAGAAUAUGUAAAGAACUCAAAACAAUUAACACACACACUCUCACAAUUACACAGUCAAUAAAGGGCAAAUGAACUAAACAUAUAUUUAUCAUAAAAAACGAAAUAUAUGUGCUGAGCUUGAGGCUCAGUGGUAGAGCGCUCUCCUGGCACACGUGAGGCACUGGGUUCGAUUCUUAGCACCAUAUAAAAAUGAAAUAAAGAUAUUGUGUCCACCUACAACUAAAAAAUAAAUAUUUUUUUAAAAAAGAAGAAAUAUAAAUAGCAAAAAAAUGUAUGAAAAAAGGUCCAAUAUCCUUAGCAAUCAAGGAAGUGCAAAUCAAAACUACAUUGAUAUUUUGUCUCACUCCAAUUAGAAAGGCAAUCAUCUAGAAUAUAAAAACAAAAAAUGCUGGUGAGGACGUGGGGAAAUGGUACACUCACACAUUGUUGGUGGAACUGUGAAUUAGUACUACCGUGUUUUGGAAAGCAGUAUGGAGAUUCCUCAAAAGACUAACGAUGGAGCCACCAUAUGAUCAGCUAUCCUCUCCUUGGUAUUUAUUCAAAGGAGCUAAAAUCACAUGCAUAACAAUGAUUAUAGCAGCAUGAUUAGCCAAUUUAUGGAAACAGCAUAGGUGCCUGUCAACAGAUGAAUAGAUAAAGAAAAUGUAUAUGCACACAGUGGGGUUUUACUCAGCCAUAAAGAAUAAAAUUAAGUCAUUUGCUGGUAAAUGGAUAAAACUGAAGAACAUCAUGCUAAGUGAAAUAAGAAUGUCUCAGAAAGUCAAGGGUUGAAUAGUUUCUCUCAUAUGCAGAAGCUAGAGAAAAAUAGGGGGAAAGGAGGGGAUCUCUUGAAAAUAAAAGGAGAAUAACAAAGGAAAGGGAUUAAGGAGGAAGCAGAGAUGGUAAAAGGAAAGACUUGUGAAAUGAAAUGGACCAAACUGUGGUGUAUUUAUGCAUGAAGAUAUCACAAUGAAUUCUACUCUCAUGUAUAACUAUAAUGUAUGAAUUUUAAAAAAUAAAUAAAUAAAAAGAAAAAAAAGAUCAAUAGAGAAGAAGAGGAAUGGGGGGAGGGAAGAAUUGGAGAUUAAAAUGGAGCAAAUCCCUUGAAUGCACUAAUGAAUGUGUCCAAAUGAGCCCCACUAUUAUGUAAACUAUAAUGCACCAAUAAAAGCAUUUAGCAAAGAAACAAAAUGAUUAAAGGAGAUAUUCCAUAGAAAGAAUUUCACAUCUGAUUUGACACAUUGUCCGGGUCUUGCUGAACCUUAGGAUUUUCUUCAAGUACUAUGCUCUAGAUGACACUCAUUCAAAUAAUUUUAUCACACAGAUCACAUAGACUACCUUCAGGGAUAUAGGAUUUUGUGUAUUUAUUUGUUUGUUUGUUUUACAGCAUCUGAGGAUGGAACUCUGGGACUUGUACACAUGAGGCAAGUCAUCUACACUGAGCCACAUGCCCAGCCUGUGGAUGCAAUUUUAGGUGCCAAUAAAUUCAAUUAGACUGAUGCAACCUCGGUAAAGCUUCAGAAAGAAUUUUCUGCUGGCCAGAGUAUAGGCUGGCCACUGUGAUUACAACAGAGAUAAACAAGACUCUCUAGGUGUCCUGGAGAGGGUGGGAAAACUUGGGAUGUAGUCAAGAUUCUGCUCUAGGACGUAGUCUGUGAUCCGGGAUAAGAGGGCAGGAUUCUCCAGUCACACUAAGUUGAUUGUGUGCUUUAAAUGUCCUCUACACCCCUCCAGUUCUCAAGGGAUAGGACCUGCCUUGUUGCCAAGGAGGGUACAGAAUAGACCCUGUGGGUAUCAGGGUGGAGGAUUGGGUAAAGGCAGACGGUGAAGAAAAAAGUAGCUAGAGACUAGAAUUUAAGAGAGGUUGAAAUAAUUUCUUGAAAUCAAUUUAAACCUGUUCCUGAGCUCCCUUGGGCUUGGAAGCUCGGGUAAAUUUCCAUCUGUCAGGGUGGAGGAACCUUGAUGCUCCCAGGUCAAUGAGAGGACAGAGAUUUUUGUUUUUAUUCAAAAGCUGACUCUAGGAAACAGGUUCACUUCAGACAAUUCUGCUUUCAAUCUUGCAACCCCACUGCCUCUAAAGAGAGGGUGUCCCAAGGGCUUAAAUCAAGGUGAGGAAAAACACAGCAGAAUGAAGAAGAAAAUAGAGUUGAUAUCCCUGUCAAGUGUUCUACAGCAGGGACACUGGCUCAGCCGGAGAACUGCUGGGCGGCUAGAGAACGAACGUGGGUCGUGGAGCUUCAAGAGUUGGGGGCUCAUGGGCCCUGCACACCCAGAGUCUCUCUCUUCUUUUCUUCCUCUGAUUGAGUCCUUCCUCACUGACUUGGGUUGGGGUGUGAUGGAAUUUUUGCACCUUACCUUUUUUAUCAUUACUUUUUUUCACUUGAGCUCUUCUGAUCAGAAGCACAUACCUACAGUAAAUGCCACCACUGAUUUCAAAUCACAGGUUUUUUUCCCUCACUUUUGUGACACAGUGUGCUCUAUUGUCAUGAGCCCAGGAGCUCAAAGGUGUCUCACAGUCAGUCACUCCAGCCAAACUAACCCUGUGCAGAUGAAUGCAGGCCCUGGUGUCAGAAAGCACACCGGGCACAGAGGAACAGAAUAUCAGAAUCUUGGGAUUAAUCAUAGGUGUUGAACACUAGGAAAAAACAAUCUGAAAGAGUAAAUUUUUUUUUAUACUUUUCUGUAUUUCUCCAAACAAAAUAUUAUUUUCCAAAAACCAAAGAAAUGGUACAUUCCUGGCACAACUCUAAUCAAGAUAAUCACUGUGUUAUCUCUGCAGAGAGAUAUGAAAUUAUAUGGUAGUGUUGGGCCAUCUUUGAGAAUCUAGUUGUAUCCAUCAAAAGGAAAAGAGAAUCCAGAGUUCUCAGGAUAUACUGGAUUAGGAAAUAUAGACAUAGUUUACUGGGUUCUGAGAGAAACUUUAAUCACUAAAUAGAAUACUGUUAUUAUGGACAUAUUUAAAUUAUCAAAUAGAUGAUGGAAGUUCCAAAUGAGAGAUCAUAUGAGAUCAUCCUGGAAUUGAAAGGUUUGGGGAAGGAAUGUGAGUGUUAAUUUUACAUAAUUUUCCAAGCAGUCAGAAGCCAGUUUAUCUGCAAGACUAAGGGGAAUAGUGAGACCCUGAGUUUGUUGCUCCCCUUCAUUUGACCUUUUCUUUGACCAAAGGAUCUGGACCACAAGGGACUUGAAGAUCCUUCCAGAUCCAACACCUGCUGGGUGAAGGAGAUAUCAAGGAUUCUACCUGGAAGAAUGGGAUCCUCUCCAGUGACCUGCAUCUCUACUCAACCCGACUAGGGGGCAAGUCCCACUCAGGAGAUUCCACAAGAUUUUCAUAAAAGAAAUAUUUGAAAUCAUCAUUUCUAAGUCGUUCUGACACUUCAAAAUUAGAGGCGAUUUUGAAAAGUGACUCCAAAGUUUAAGUUUAAAUAUUUGAUUAGAUCAACCAUGACCCAGAGCAAAGGGUCAUGCACUGUUAGGACACCCAAGGUCCUGCUUCAAGACAUGCAGGGUUCUCUGAAGCUGUGUGCAGAUUUCCCAUCCACCUGUUUGACUAUAUGCACAGGUGCAGGGAAUGUUAUAUAUAUUAUAAAUAUACAUGAUCCUUCCCACUCAUGGGAAGAAUGUCCAUGGAUUUUUGAAAGCAACCGAAAGUCUUUAAAAUGCUUAGGAAGAACUACUGUAUAUAUGGAAGGUAAAAACCAUUGAACUCAUGAGACCUAUAUUCCAGGUCAGUUUUUCCCCCUGAAUACAUCCAUAAUCUCAAAUAUAAAAACAUGAUGUCCUCUGAAAGAGGGGAACACUAUCACUUUGAAGAUUCAAAUCAUACUUAUAUUUCUUUUAUCAUUUUGAGAUUAAAUGGCAUAAAGAAAUGGACUUGUCCUUCCUUUUUCCUUUACAGAUGAGGAAACUGUUAGUCUUUGAGCAAAUAAGUGAUUCACCCCUACCUUACCAUCUGGGAGCUACUCAUUAGAAAGUUGUGAUAGUUCAUGGUCUAUAGCAUGCCACACUGACAAAACACAUAAGCACAUCCUCUGAUCUCUGGCUAAUGAAAUAAACCAUGAAAUAAUAAAAAACUUACGUAUUUUUAAAAAGGCAGAAAUGAUCAUUUGUGAUGGAUCGGAUUUUAUACCUAGGGAAACCAACUGAAGGAAAAAACAUUGCAGCGGCUGCCUCCCGCAUGAGUGAGGAAGCUGACCUGAGCUCAGGAAUUACGUCAGACCCCAGGUUUAGUGAACAGAAGCAGCUGUACUUGAAACCUAGGCUUUCCAACUGUGAGGACCCUGGCUGUUCAGUCCACAAAGGGUCUUUCAUUAGACAUCAAUAAGAGAUUUUUAGCAACGUAUUAUGGAAUUUUAAAUUGUUAGUUUUAUAAUGUGAAUUGGGUUCACAUUUUGUUUACCUUCUAAAAUAAUUUGUGUUACUUCCCCCUUUUAAGUUUUAAAUAACUAAUAACCCAUGUACUAGAAAUAAGCUCCCAUGACCAUUCUCAAGUUCUCUCUUUGUUAUGGUCCUUUCCCUGUGUCCAUUUUCUUCGGUCAUAUUCAGUUCUAUGUGUAUUGCAAAGAGCCCACAUAGUGCAACCAGGGAAUGUCCUGGAAAUAUGUGCAUUUUUUUUUUGCUUUGUGUUUCUGGGUUUGUCAUGGUAUUGGGGGUACAGUGUCAACAACUACAGAGGCUCUGUCUUCAGUGACAAUGGUGAGGAAGUGGGGCAAAUAAACUGGCAACUAAACUUCACUGUGAUAAUUUAGCAGUUUAUUUCUAGUACACUUUACUAUGUAUCAUCUUCUUAUAAUAUCAAACCAUGUUUCUGAGGUAUUGCUCUUCUAAUUCCCAAUAUGCACUUGACAUUUUCCUUUUAUUGAUUAAAUUUGCUAUCUGUCUAAAAUUCAGUUCUUCA